UGUCGAUGAAGAGCGCAGCAAACUGUGGGAAUUCAUGUGAACUGCAUGCUCAUUUGAACAUCGACAUCUUGAACGCACAUUGCGGCCACGGGUUAGCCCGUGGCUACGUCUGUUCGAGGUUCG
Molecule: ribosomal RNA, 123 nt
Filed under: Allopodocotyle heronensis
Lineage: Eukaryota; Metazoa; Platyhelminthes; Trematoda; Plagiorchiida; Opecoelidae
Description: partial 5.8S ribosomal RNA
Rfam family: 5.8S ribosomal RNA
About the family: 5.8S ribosomal RNA (5.8S rRNA) is a component of the large subunit of the eukaryotic ribosome. It is transcribed by RNA polymerase I as part of the 45S precursor that also contains 18S and 28S rRNA.
Source: RNAcentral